RNAcentral lists this ribosomal RNA (274 nucleotides) under uncultured bacterium. RNAcentral describes it as "partial 16S ribosomal RNA". It matches the Rfam family "Bacterial small subunit ribosomal RNA", at positions 523 to 796 of the family's 1533-position model. The record is from RNAcentral.
AUACGGAGGGUGCAAGCGUUACUCGGAAUCACUGGGCGUAAAGCGCGCGCAGGCGGGCUGAUAAGUUGGAUGUGAAAGCCUACGGCUCAACCGUAGAACUGCAUCCAAAACUGUCAGUCUAGAGUGUGGGAGAGGAAGAUGGAAUUAGUUGUGUAGGGGUAAAAUCCGUAGGGAUAACUAGGAAUACCAAAAGCGAAGGCAAUCUUCUGGAACACUACUGACGCUGAGGCGCGAAGGCGUGGGGAGCAAACAGGAUUAGAAACCCCGGUAGUCC